Molecule: transfer RNA, 86 nt
Filed under: Dreissena polymorpha
Lineage: Eukaryota; Metazoa; Mollusca; Bivalvia; Myida; Dreissenidae
Rfam family: tRNA
About the family: Transfer RNA (tRNA) molecules are approximately 80 nucleotides in length. Their secondary structure includes four short double-helical elements and three loops (D, anti-codon, and T loops).
Source: Rfam by way of RNAcentral
GUUGUCGUGGCCGAGUGGGUAAGGCGAUGAAUAAGAAUAAAAUCUUUUGGGAUUUUCCCGCGCAGGUUCGAUUCCUGCCGACAUCG